Molecule: ribosomal RNA, 396 nt
Filed under: uncultured bacterium
Lineage: Bacteria
Description: bacterial SSU rRNA
Rfam family: Bacterial small subunit ribosomal RNA
Source: RNAcentral
AACGAACGCUGGCGGCAGGCCUAACACAUGCAAGUCGAACGCUCGUAGCAAUACGAGAGUGGCAGACGGGUGAGUAACACGUGGGAACCUUCCCUAUGGUUCGGAAUAGCCCAGGGAAACUUGGGGUAAUACCGGAUAAGCCCUUCGGGGAAAGAUUUAUCGCCAUUGGAUGGGCCCGCCGUCGGAUUAGCUAGUUGGUGGGGUAACGGCCUACCAAGGCGACGAUCCGUAGCUGGUCUGAGAGGAUGAUCAGCCACACUGGGACUGAGACACGGCCCAGACUCCUACGGGAGGCAGCAGUGGGGAAUAUUGGACAAUGGGCGCAAGCCUGACGACGCAACGCCGCGUGGAGGACGAAGAUCUUCGGGUCGUAAACUCCUGUCGAGUGGGAAGAAU